AUUGAACGCUGGCGGCAUGCCUUACGCAUGCAAGUCGAACGGCAGCACGGGAGCAAUCCUGGUGGCGAGUGGCGAACGGGUGAGUAAUGUAUCGGAACGUGCCCAGUCGUGGGGGAUAACGUAGCGAAAGCUACGCUAAUACCGCAUACGAUCUGUGGAUGAAAGCGGGGGACCGUAAGGCCUCGCGCGAUUGGAGCGGCCGAUAUCAGAUUAGGUAGUUGGUGGGGUAAAGGCCUACCAAGCCGACGAUCUGUAGCUGGUCUGAGAGGACGACCAGCCACACUGGGACUGAGACACGGCCCAGACUCCUACGGGAGGCAGCAGUGGGGAAUUUUGGACAAUGGGCGCAAGCCUGAUCCAGCAAUGCCGCGUGCAGGAUGAAGGCCUUCGGGUUGUAAACUGCUUUUGUACAGAGCGAAAAGGCUCUCUCUAGUACAGGGGGCUCAUGACGGUACCGUAAGAAUAAGCACCGGCUAACUACGUGCCAGCCGCCGCGGUAA
Molecule: ribosomal RNA, 500 nt
Filed under: uncultured bacterium
Lineage: Bacteria
Description: partial 16S ribosomal RNA
Rfam family: Bacterial small subunit ribosomal RNA
Source: RNAcentral